RNAcentral lists this long non-coding RNA (527 nucleotides) under Vigna radiata. RNAcentral describes it as "long non-coding RNA (VRAD_LNC008937)". The record is from RNAcentral. Lineage: Eukaryota; Viridiplantae; Streptophyta; Magnoliopsida; Fabales; Fabaceae.
GGCUGAUAGGAUUGGUUGACUGAUCUGAUGAAUCCAUAGAAGAGAGAAAAAAAAAGAAAGCAAGAAAAAGGAUCAAGAAGCUAGGCAAGAAUCAUCAAGAACCUGGACAGCGGAAGCUCUUUGCUCUUGAUACCAUAAUAGAAUUGGCCCAAAUAUAUGAGACCGGCCCAAUACUCUUUCCAAACCCAAAGACAAAAUAAAGAAAGCAAAUGUCUGUGAGGCUUUUGCGAGAAGCUUCUUGUGUCAGAGAGGUAGGUGGGAGAUGAGACCGAGAAGCACAAGUGAGAAAGAAGGAGAGCUCCUAAAUGACUCCAUGGCAUUUCUGCAGACGAACAUCAAGGGUUCGUUUCCUUCAGGCGAUGAAGAAGCAAAGUAGAAGGAGAUAAAGAGAAGACCAAGAGGAGCGCGGGUCUGAGGUUAGUGUUUGACAAACAUUUUGUAGAAGAUAGAAAACUGUGUUGUAUUACUGUGUGUAUCGUCUUACAAGAGAAAAAUAAGAAAGGAGGAACUCUAUAGAGUUCCUUAAC